RNAcentral lists this ribosomal RNA (253 nucleotides) under uncultured bacterium. RNAcentral's name for it is "partial 16S ribosomal RNA". It matches the Rfam family "Bacterial small subunit ribosomal RNA", at positions 524 to 776 of the family's 1533-position model. The record is from RNAcentral.
UACAGAGGGUGCAAGCGUUGCUCGGAAUCACUGGGCGUAAAGGGUGCGUAGGCGGGUCUUUAAGUCAGGGGUGAAAUCCUGGAGCUCAACUCCAGAACUGCCUUUGAUACUGAAGAUCUUGAGUCCGGGAGAGGUGAGUGGAACUGCGAGUGUAGAGGUGAAAUUCGUAGAUAUUCGCAAGAACACCAGUGGCGAAGGCGGCUCACUGGCCCGGUACUGACGCUGAGGCACGAAAGCGUGGGGAGCAAACAGG